UGUGACGUCAAACGUUCUAGUGGACGGCUACUGGACGGCAAGAGUGCCGCAUUGAUGAAUGGAUUCCUAUGGGACUCGCAACGUUUAGUAACUCAUAACGUAACUUAGAUCGCCGAUAAACUAAACACCGUGAACACCCAUUGUGCUGUUUGUUACAAAAACAGAUAGGGUUACAACCCAGGCGUGACUUUUCACUGGAUCUCAAAAUAAAACGAGAAAGCUGAGGUGAAUCGCGGCAACCAACUGGAAAACCAUCAAACUAGCCUACUCAAGUAGCUGGAUGAGCACCACGAUGAGAAGAGCGAUGAUCUGAUGUCAUGACACAUUGGAUGUAUGGAAGAGCCAGAGGUCCAGCACACCAAGUCAAGUUUAGCCGAUUUCAACCUCUUAAUCACACCAACUCAAUGUAGUAAUCAGUUCAUUCAA
Molecule: long non-coding RNA, 426 nt
Organism: Engraulis encrasicolus (European anchovy)
Lineage: Eukaryota; Metazoa; Chordata; Actinopteri; Clupeiformes; Engraulidae
Exons: 2
Source: RefSeq, a predicted model, not a curated record